GGAACGUUAUCGAUAAGAAGAGAGCGUCUAGGCGAACAAUGUUCUUAAAGUUUGACCUCAAAUCAGGUAGGAGUACCCGCUGAACUUAAGCAUAUCAAUAAGCGGAGGAAAAGAAACCAACCGGGAUUGCCUUAGUAACGGCGAGUGAAGCGGCAAAAGCUCAAAUUUGAAAUUCUGGUACCUUCGGUGCCCGAGUUGUAAUUUGGAGAGGGCAACUUUGGGGCCGUUCCUUGUCUAUGUUCCUUGGAACAGGACGUCAUAGAGGGUGAGAAUCCCGUGUGGCGAGGAGUGCGGUUCUUUGUAAAGUGCCUUCGAAGAGUCGAGUUGUUUGGGAAUGCAGCUCUAAGUGGGUGGUAAAUUCCAUCUAAAGCUAAAUAUUGGCGAGAGACCGAUAGCGAACAAGUACAGUGAUGGAAAGAUGAAAAGAACUUUGAAAAGAGAGUGAAAAAGUACGUGAAAUUGUUGAAAGGGAAGGGCAUUUGAUCAGACAUGGUGUUUUGUGCCCUCUGCUCCUUGUGGGUAGGGGAAUCUCGCAUUUCACUGGGCCAGCAUCAGUUUUGGUGGCAGGAUAAAUCCAUAGGAAUGUAGCUUGCCUCGGUAAGUAUUAUAGCCUGUGGGAAUACUGCCAGCUGGGACUGAGGACUGCGACGUAAGUCAAGGAUGCUGGCAUAAUGGUUAUAUGCCGCCCGUCUUGAAACACGGACCAAGGAGUCUAACGUCUAUGCGAGUGUUUGGGUGUAAAACCCAUACGCGUAAUGAAAGUGAACGUAGGUUGGGGCCUCGCAAGAGGUGCACAAUCGACCGAUCCUGAUGUCUUCGGAUGGAUUUGAGUAA
RNAcentral lists this ribosomal RNA (834 nucleotides) under Saccharomyces cerevisiae (brewer's yeast). Its description in RNAcentral is "LSU rRNA". It matches the Rfam family "Eukaryotic large subunit ribosomal RNA", at positions 1 to 797 of the family's 3401-position model. The record is from RNAcentral. Lineage: Eukaryota; Fungi; Ascomycota; Saccharomycetes; Saccharomycetales; Saccharomycetaceae.